This 1413-nucleotide unclassified non-coding RNA is filed under the name Hevea brasiliensis (rubber tree). Lineage: Eukaryota; Viridiplantae; Streptophyta; Magnoliopsida; Malpighiales; Euphorbiaceae. The record is from RNAcentral.
GCAAGCUAUUUGGGCAAUCAUCCUACGAAAGUCCUCCUAGCUUACAAUCGAAAAUCUCUAAGAAUCUCUUUCUGUUUUCUUACUUUCUCCCAUUUUCUUCGGUUUUCUGGGUUUCUCUCCGUUUCUCUAGUGGUGAAAAGUGGGUAUGGCAGUGUUGUCGUUUAGCUCGCUGCCUUUAGGGUUCAGAUUCAGGCCAACGGACGAGGAAUUGGUGAAUUUCUACUUGAGAUUGAAGAUUAAUGGAAAUGAUGAAGAGGUCAAAGUCAUUCGAGAACUCGAUGUUUGUAAAUGGGAGCCCUGGGAUUUGCCUGAUUUAUCGAUGAUAAAGACGAAUGAUCAAGAGUGGUUCUUUUUCUGUCCGCUUGAUCGCAAGUAUCCGAGUGGGCACAGAUUGAACAGGGCAACAAGUAAAGGAUACUGGAAGGCAACUGGAAAGGAUCGUAAAAUAAAGUCUGGAAACAACUUGAUUGGUAUGAAGAAAACUCUCGUCUUCUACACUGGNCGCUCCUCGUGGUACCAGAACCCACUGGGUCAUCCAUGAGUAUCGUGCCGUGGAGGACGACCUUGACGGCACUAAACCUGGCCAGAGCCCCUUUGUCAUUUGUCGUUUAUUUAAGAAACAAGAUGACAGCGUCGAAGGUUUGAACUCGGAAGAACCAGAAGCUACUAUUUCUUCUCCUACCGUGGCCCAAUCCUUUCCGGAAGUCGCAGAAUCUGAGCUAGCAUUGCCACAACCAUCUCCAGUAAAUACCCCAGCCUCCAACAUUCUACCAUCUAAUGAAUGCUUUAAUGCCUUUCAAUCUGGAGGUCAAACAGUAGAUGUAACGACUCCUGAGGGGGAUAGUCAGCUGGAAGAAUACUUGAAUUGGUUUGUCCAACCACCUGAUACUGUAUAUGACAAGCUCUUUUCCCCUCUGCAUGCACAAGUACAAGCAGAAGUGGGUUUUCCGCAUUAUUCCAUUGCCAAUGACUGGAGCAACUGUAACAGUGGGGUGCAAUCUCAUCAUGGCACAAAUGAAAUAGAUUCUGCAUAUGUGACUAAUUUCCUGGAUGACGUCCUUCCACAGUACUCUUGUAAGGAGUAUGGCAGCAUUAAGAAUUUUGCUUUUGAUGAGUUCCCUGAAUCUUAUGGUGGAUUAGAUGCCAAAGUGAACCAAGCUUUGCUUGAAGAAGAGUUGCAGGGUACUGUAUACCCUGAGGAGGAUAUUGACAAAAAGCUGCCUUUAGUUGUAGAAACAAUCCAAGAAGAUAGAUUGUUAACUUUUGACCAUGGUGUUGAAUCCUACAGAAGGCAAAGUUUUACAUCAAUUUCUGGUGCAGAACAAUUAACUAGUUUCAAGGAAAUAAGCGACCAUAGGAAUCAAAUUGGCAGCAGUGAGAGUGUUGGAACUGGAAUCAGGAUUAGGGCUCGGA